Molecule: ribosomal RNA, 444 nt
Filed under: uncultured bacterium
Lineage: Bacteria
Description: partial 16S ribosomal RNA
Rfam family: Bacterial small subunit ribosomal RNA
Source: RNAcentral
CCUACGAGAGGCUGCAGUGGGGAAUAUUGGGCAAUGGAGGAAACUCUGACCCAGCAAUGCCGCGUGAAUGAAGAAGGUCUUCGGAUUGUAAAGUUCUUUAGUCAGGGAAGAAUAAACUGACGGUACCUGAAGCAUAAGCUCCGGCUAACUACGUGCCAUCAGACGCGGUAAUACGUAGGGAGCAAGCGUUGUUCGGAAUGACUGGGCGUAAAGGGUGCGUAGGCGGUUAUUCAAGUUAGAAGUGAAAUACCAGGGGCUUAACUCGGGUGCUGCUUCUAAAACUGUAAGACUUGAGUGCAGGAGAGGUUAGUGGAAUUCGUAGUGUAGCGGUGGAAUGCGUAGAGAUUAGGAGGAACACCAGAGGCGAAGGCGGCUAACUGGACUGCAACUGACGCUGAGGCACGAAAGUGUGGGGAGCAAACAGGAUUAGAUACCCCUGUAGUC